RNAcentral lists this ribosomal RNA (432 nucleotides) under uncultured bacterium. RNAcentral's name for it is "partial 16S ribosomal RNA". It matches the Rfam family "Bacterial small subunit ribosomal RNA", at positions 29 to 506 of the family's 1533-position model. The record is from RNAcentral.
AACGAACGCUGGCGGCAUGCCUAACACAUGCGAGUCGAACGAGACCUUCGGGUCUAGUGGCGCACGGGUGCGUAACGCGUGGGAACCUGCCCUUAGGUUCGGAAUAACUCCCCGAAAGGGGUGCUAAUACCGGAUAAUGUCUUCGGACCAAAGAUUUAUCGCCUUUGGAUGGGCCCGCGUUGGAUUAGCUAGUUGGUAGGGUAAAAGCCUACCAAGGCGACGAUCCAUAGCUGGUCUGAGAGGAUGAUCAGCCACACUGGGACUGAGACACGGCCCAGACUCCUACGGGAGGCAGCAGUGGGGAAUAUUGGACACUGGGCGAAAGCCUGAUCCAGCAAUGCCGCGUGAGUGAUGAAGGCCUUAGGGUUGUAAAGCUCUUUUACCCGGGAUGAUAAUGACAGUACCGGGAGAAUAAGCUCCGGCUACCUCCGU